GCUUGACUGUAUCCUGGAAUUGGGUUUCGGUUUUCUUGCGCAGUCUAGGUGGGAGGCUAUGAAGAUUUCCUUCCGGGGAAAUUAGAGCCAUCAGUGAGAGACCACUCUGGAAGAACUAAAAUUCUAAUGGCGUGAUCCUUGAAUCAGGACACUUGACAGUUUCAGGUGGGCAGUUUUUCUGGGGCGGAAACCUCAUAAAAGGUAACUGAGGCGCGCAAAGGUUCCCUCAGUCUGGACGGAAAUCAGACAACGAGUGUAAAGGCAAAAGGGAGCUUGACUGCAAGACCCACAAGUCGAGCAGGAGCGAAAGCUGGCCUUAGUGAUCCGACGGUGCCGUGUGGAAGGGCCGUCGCUCAACGAAUAAAAGUUA
Molecule: ribosomal RNA, 370 nt
Filed under: uncultured alga
Lineage: Eukaryota
Description: bacterial LSU rRNA
Rfam family: Bacterial large subunit ribosomal RNA
Source: RNAcentral